AUACGUAGGGUGCAAGCGUUAAUCGGAAUUACUGGGCGUAAAGCGCGCGCAGGCGGUUUUGUAAGACGGUGGUGAAAUCCCCGGGCUCAACCUGGGAACUGCCAUUGUGACUGCAAGGCUGGAGUGCGGCAGAGAGGGAUGGAAUUCCGCGUGUAGCAGUGAAAUGCGUAGAUAUGCGGAGGAACACCGAUGGCGAAGGCAAUCCCCUGGGCCUGCACUGACGCUCAUGCACGAAAGCGUGGGGAGCAAACAGGAUUAGAUACCCUGGUAGUCCACGCCCUAAACGAUGUCAACUGGUUGUUGGGGAUUUAUUUUCUCAGUAACGAAGCUAACGCGUGAAGUGGACCGCCUGGGGAGUACGGCCGCAAGGUUAAAACUCAAAGGAAUUGACGGG
Molecule: ribosomal RNA, 394 nt
Filed under: uncultured bacterium
Lineage: Bacteria
Description: partial 16S ribosomal RNA
Rfam family: Bacterial small subunit ribosomal RNA
Source: RNAcentral